UACACGACCGUACCGCAAACCGACACUGGUGCGCGAGAUGAGUAUUCUAAGGCGCUUGAGAGAACUCAGGAGAAGGAACUCGGCAAAUUGACACCGUAACUUCGGAAGAAGGUGUGCCUUUAGUAGGUGAACCAUUUACUUGGGGAGCCCAAUGAGGCUGCAAAAAAUCGGUGGCUGCAACUGUUUAUUAAAAACACAGCACUCUGCUAAGACGAAAGUCGACGUAUAGGGUGUGACGCCUGCCCGGUGCUGGAAGAUUAAAUGAUGGGGUGCAAGCUCUUGAUUGAAGUCCCAGUAAACGGCGGCCGUAACAAUAACGGUCCUAAGGUAGCGAAAUUCCUUGUCGGGUAAGUUCCGACCUGCACGAAUGGCGUAAUGAUGGCCACACUGUCUCCUCCUGAGACUCAGCGAAGUUGAAAUGUUUGUGAUGAUGCAAUCUCCCCGCGGAAAGACGGAAAGACCCCAUGAACCUUUACUGUAGCUUUGUAUUGGACUUUGAACAGAUCUGUGUAGGAUAGGUGGGAGGCUUUGAAGUGUGGUCGCUAGAUCGCAUGGAGCCAACGUUGAAAUACCACCCUGGUGUGUUUGAGGUUCUAACCUAGGUCCAUUAUCUGGAUCGGGGACAGUGCAUGGUAGGCAGUUUGACUGGGGCGGUCUCCUCCCAAAGUGUAACGGAGGAGUUCGAAGGUACGCUAGGUACGGUCGGACAUCGUGCUAAUAGUGCAAUGGCAUAAGCGUGCUUAACUGCGAGACUGACAAGUCGAGCAGAUGCGAAAGCAGGACAUAGUGAUCCGGUGGUUCUGUAUGGAAGGGCCAUCGCUCAACGGAUAAAAGGUACUCUGGGGAUAACAGGCUGAUACCGCCCAAGAGUUCAUAUCGACGGCGGUGUUUGGCACCUCGAUGUCGGCUCAUCUCAUCCUGGGGCUGUAGCCGGUCCCAAGGGUAUGGCUGUUCGCCAUUUAAAGAGGUACGUGAGCUGGGUUUAAAACGUCGUGAGACAGUUUGGUCCCUAUCUUCCGUGGGCGCUGCAGAUUUGAGGAAGCCUGCUCCUAGUACGAGAGGACCGGAGUGGACGAACCUCUGGUGUAUCGGUUGUCAUGCCAGUGGCAUUGCCGAGUAGCUAAGUUCGGAAGAGAUAACCGCUGAAAGCAUCUAAGCGGGAAACUCGUUUCAAGAUUAGAUCUGCCGGGGCCUUGAGCCCCCUAAAGAGUCGUUCAAGACCAGGACGUUGAUAGGUCAGGUGUGGAA
This 1248-nucleotide ribosomal RNA is filed under the name metagenome. Its description in RNAcentral is "bacterial LSU rRNA". It matches the Rfam family "Bacterial large subunit ribosomal RNA", at positions 1635 to 2872 of the family's 2925-position model. The record is from RNAcentral.